This 624-nucleotide ribosomal RNA is filed under the name uncultured bacterium. Its description in RNAcentral is "bacterial SSU rRNA". It matches the Rfam family "Bacterial small subunit ribosomal RNA", at positions 338 to 1212 of the family's 1533-position model. The record is from RNAcentral.
CCUACGGGAGGCAGCAGUAGGGAAUCUUCCACAAUGGGCGAAAGCCUGAUGGAGCAACGCCGCGUGAGUGAUGAAGGCCUUCGGGUUGUAAAACUCUGUCAUUCGGGACGAACCGGAGUCUGAGGAAAUGCAGACUCUCUGACGGUACCGGAGGAGGAAGCCCCGGCUAACUACGUGCCAGCAGCCGCGGUAAUACGUAGGGGGCAAGCGUUGUCCGGAUUCACUGGGCGUAAAGCGCGCGCAGGCGGUGAUGUAAGUCUGAGGUGAAAACCCGAAGCUCAACUUCGGGACUGCCUUGGAUACUGCGUCACUUGAGGAUAGGAGAGGCAAGGGGAAUUCCACGUGUAGCGGUGAAAUGCGUAGAGAUGUGGAGGAACACCUGUGGCGAAGGCGCCUUGCUGGCCUAUUUCUGACGCUGAGGCGCGAAAGCGUGGGGAGCAAACAGGAUUAGAUACCCUGGUAGUCCACGCUGUAAACGAUGAGUGCUAGGUGUAGGUGGGCUCAUACCCAUCUGUGCCGAAGCUAACGCAUUAAGCACUCCGCCUGGGGAGUACGGUGCGAGACUGAAACUCAAAGAGUAGUUGGACGUUGNGAGAGCGACGACGCGACGACGGAGGGAGGAGG